UGCUAUUAUCAGCCCCGGCACUGCCUCCUUCACGUGAAGGCGCCGGGGCAGCCAAUCCGGAGGACCACGAGGCUCCUGCCAGCCAAUCAGCGCCGGGCUGGUGAAACGUGAUCCUUUGGCCUGCAGGCGGUGGGAGCCCGGCUUGAUCGGCUCAUGGUCAGCCCCUGCCGGGCAGCCAGGCCUAAGGAAAGCAGCCCCUGGAAGGCGUGAUUGAUUGGCACUCAGCGCUGCCCAGAAACAUCCGGGGUACUCCGUAGAAUGGAUUGCAGUCUGGCAGCAAUGUUGAGCUGCUAGGGCUCCAUGCUAAGGAAUCCUGGGACCUGUGAUGGCUGGGGAUGCUGGGACUUUGGGACUGCAACAUCCCCCAGCAGGCCAUGGUGACUGAGACACUGGGAGAAGGAAAGGACACUGUGACUGGGAACACUGGGAGGUUGGGAUCGUGACUCCCAACAUGUCCAACAUACCAUACUGGACAUUGGGAUUGCAGUUGUAACAUCCCCAGCAGACCAUAGUGACUGUGCAUAAUGGAAAUUGGGAUUGCAGCUCUCAACAUCCCCAGCAGACCAUGAUAACCGGGCAUAUUGGAAAUGGAGUUUGCAGCUCUCAACAUCCCCAGCAGACCAUGGUGACCGGGCAUACUGGAAAUUGGGCCUACAACUUCCAACAUCCCCACACCAUCGUGACUGUGCAUACUGGUAAUUGGGAUUGCAACUCCCAACAUCCCCAGCAGACCAUGGUGGUGAGUGGUCAUACUGGUAUUUGGGAUUGCAGCUUCCAACAUCUCCAGACCAUGGUGACUGUGCAUACUGUUAAUUAGGUAGGACUGCAGCUCCCAACAACUCCAGCAGACCAUGGUGAGUGGUCAUACUGGAGUUUGGGAUUGCAGCUUCCAACAUCCCCAGACCAUGGUGACUGUGCAUACUGGUAGUUAGGAUUGCAACUUCCAACAUCCCCAGCAGACCAUAGUGAGUGGGCAUACUGGAAAUUGAGAUUGCAGCUCUCAACAUCCUCAACAGACCAUGGUGACUGUGCAUACUGGUAACUGGGAUUGCAACUCCCAGCAUCCCCAGCAGACCAUCGCGACUGGGAAUACUGGAAAUUGGGAUUGCAGCUCCUAACAUCCUCAGCAGAUCAUCGCGUUUGGGCAUCCUGGGAAGCUGGGACUACAGCUCCCAAGAUUCCUAGCAUACCAUAGUGACUGGGGAGACUGGGUGUUUGGCCACAUAAUAUCCCCAGCAGACCAUGUAACUGGACAUACUGCGAGUUUGGGAUUACGAUCCCCAGCAGACUGUGGUGACCAGUGAUACUGGGAGUUGCAGUUCUUAGGGGAAUCACUUCUCUGAGUUUGGCUCCAAGGUAACAUUCCAAGCUCCAAGAUCAUUCCUGAGGCACUUCCUCCAGAGGAGUCCUAAUGAGCCUGCAAGAUUGCUCCAAGGAACCCUGUGGUUAAAGGAGAAAAGGGUCUUUGCCCUUUCUUGUUUCUGGCGCCCCGUCCCAGGACUCAGCAAAACAUGUUCCAGAUGUUUCCUUUCGGUUCUUAUUAAUACAUUCUCUCAUCUCUCCAGAGGUUUCCAGUUUGUGUAAAAAAACAAAAAAACAAAACCAGUUGCAUUGUUUUCCUUGUUCAAGAAAAUUUCUUUCUUGGGAAGGAAGUGUGACGGGCAGAAAUUCCACGGAGGAUGCUCAUCUGUUCCACUGUAAUGCUAGCAAAGAGAUCCCUGGGCAUAUUACUGCCUGUUGUGCAGCGACCCAGCCAGAAGAAAACCUACAAAGUCCUUUCAUCCUUAGAUAAAAUAGGUGCAAAAGAUGGAGAUAGAAGACCCAACUUCCUUGGAAUCUCAAUACUGUAGACCAGCAUUCCCACUCCGGUGCCCUCCAGAAGGAUUGGACUACAGAUUCCACAACCCAUAAUCAUUACUGGUUGGAGAUUGUGAAGAUUGCAAAGUAGCAGCAGAGUCUGAUAUGGUACGACCCCUACAUCCGCAGAGAAUAUGCUCCCGGACUUCGGGUGGAUAAGCAAAACUGCAGGUAAUCACAAAUUUUAUUGAAAUAAAGGAUUUCAGGCUCAAGAAUAUCAUAGUCUUGCUGAUGGAACAAGAAUAUGCCUAGUGAUUGGAUAUUUUGUUACACAUGGCAGCUCUACAUGAGGAGCCUUUGAAGACUGUUCGGAAGCUUCAAGUGGUCCAACGAGGGGCAGCCAGGUUGCUCACCGGAGUGACGUACAAAGAGAUACAACUCACCUGUUAUGUCAGCUCCACUGCCUGAUGGUCGGCUACCUAGCAUAAUUGAUAGUACUGGCUUUAGCCUAUAAAGCUCUAAACAGCUCCAGUCCAACUUACUUGUCCGAACAUAUCUCUCUCUAUGAACCGGUUAGAGAGCUAAGAUCUGCGGGGGAGGCCCUGCCCUCAGUCCCAUCCCUUUCGCAAACGCAACUGAUGGGGAUGAGAGACAGGGCCUUCUCAGUGGUGACCCUUGGCUAUAGAACUCUCCCCCCAGCAAAAUCAGACUGGCUCCAUCCCUCCUAGUCUUUAGGAAAAGACUGGAAAUCUGGUUGUGGGAUCAGGUUUUUGGAUAGUUGUUGGGUGGUGCAACACAGAAUUGGCAAAACUGUAUCAAUGAAAAUGACUACACUUGGAUUUGGUAUUAAUUAGUAUUAUAAUUGUUUAUAUGUUUUUCUUGCGUUUUUGUAUAUAAUGUAUUGCUUUUUACCUUAUUGUAUAUGCGGCAUUGAAUAUUGUCGUGUUGUAAACUGCUUUGAGUCCCCCUUGGGGUGAGACAGGAAAGUGAGGAAUAAAUAUAGCAAAUAAAUAAAUCAAACCGUGGA
Anolis carolinensis (green anole) is the source of this 2824-nucleotide long non-coding RNA. RefSeq lists it as uncharacterized. The transcript has 3 exons. NCBI's taxonomy places the organism in Eukaryota, Metazoa, Chordata, Lepidosauria, Squamata, Anolidae. The record is from RefSeq and is a predicted model, not a curated record.